RNAcentral lists this transfer RNA (73 nucleotides) under Bos taurus (domestic cattle). It matches the Rfam family "tRNA". Rfam says of the family: Transfer RNA (tRNA) molecules are approximately 80 nucleotides in length. Their secondary structure includes four short double-helical elements and three loops (D, anti-codon, and T loops). Further hydrogen bonds mediate the characteristic L-shaped molecular structure. tRNAs have two regions of fundamental functional importance: the anti-codon, which is responsible for specific mRNA codon recognition, and the 3' end, to which the tRNAs corresponding amino acid is attached (by aminoacyl-tRNA synthetases). tRNAs cope with the degeneracy of the genetic code in two manners: having more than one tRNA (with a specific anti-codon) for a particular amino acid; and 'wobble' base-pairing, i.e. permitting non-standard base-pairing at the 3rd anti-codon position. The record is from Rfam by way of RNAcentral. RNAcentral also lists the same sequence under 3 other names. Lineage: Eukaryota; Metazoa; Chordata; Mammalia; Artiodactyla; Bovidae.
UUCCUGAUGUUUCAGAUGGUAAAAGAACCUGCCUGAAAUGCAGAAGACCCAGGUUCGAUCCCUGGGUUGGAAA